Centrocercus urophasianus (Greater sage-grouse) is the source of this 397-nucleotide long non-coding RNA. RefSeq lists it as uncharacterized. NCBI's taxonomy places the organism in Eukaryota, Metazoa, Chordata, Aves, Galliformes, Phasianidae. The record is from RefSeq and is a predicted model, not a curated record. The transcript is spliced from 3 exons.
UUUUGUCUUAUUCCUUGGAUUCCAUGGGAAAAACAAAAGGAUUCCUGUGCAUUCCUGUGAGGACUGAAGAAAUCCUUUCCUACUGAAUGGAAGCUGUUGGGAAUACCUACAGCAAGAAAUGAAGCUUUCAUGUCUGUCAAAAAGUCCCUUGCAGGUGUAGAGCUGAAAGAACUCCUGCAAAAGCAGUGUUUGCUCAGGUCUGUUUGAGGAGAUAAAAGAGAAGCACCUACUCCGAACAGCAAUGUCUGCUGGUUGGCCCCAGCGUCCACCCAUUGUUUGCUCUCCAACCCCAGGCAAGCAGCACUUUUUUUCCUUUGGCAGAUAUCCCAUUAUUUUCUCCCCGGGGGCUGGAUUGAGGAUGGUAAGUUCUAUUCUAAUUGAAGCCAAGUCAGUGAUA